UAAGUCAACAAAUUGUCUAAUUCUCUUGGAAAUUCUUUGAUUUUAGGAAAUGGACAUUUUACACAAUUGCCUUGGAGAAGUUAAAAAAAAAACAGAUUUCCAAAUGCAUUAUCAAUAAGUAGGACAUUCUGAUCCUGAGAUUGGAAAUGGAGAAGACAUGGAACACUACCCCAGGAGCCCCAGCCCCUCCAGACUGGACCUGGGCGUGGACUGAGACUGGGAGCCACUGCCCUCUGCUGUACUAAGAGGUGAGUGCUUCUGACUUGCCAGCUUCACCUUGUCCUAGGUGGGGCCA
This 295-nucleotide long non-coding RNA is filed under the name Ictidomys tridecemlineatus (thirteen-lined ground squirrel). RNAcentral describes it as "lncRNA (ENSSTOG00000031399.1)". Lineage: Eukaryota; Metazoa; Chordata; Mammalia; Rodentia; Sciuridae. The record is from RNAcentral.